This 253-nucleotide ribosomal RNA is filed under the name uncultured bacterium. Its description in RNAcentral is "partial 16S ribosomal RNA". It matches the Rfam family "Bacterial small subunit ribosomal RNA", at positions 524 to 776 of the family's 1533-position model. The record is from RNAcentral.
UACGUAGGGCGCAAGCGUUAUCCGGAAUUAUUGGGCGUAAAGAGCGUGUAGGCGGUUCGGUAAGUCUGUCGUGAAAUCCUGAGGCUCAACCUCGGGCGUGCGAUGGAUACUGCCGGGCUAGAGGAUGGUAGAGGCGAGUGGAAUUCCCGGUGUAGCGGUGAAAUGCGCAGAUAUCGGGAAGAACACCCGUGGCUAAGGCGGCUCUCUAGUACGGUACUGACGCUGAGACGCGAAAGCGUGGGGAGCGAACAGG